GUUUGAUCCUGGCUCAGGAUGAACGCUAGCGGCAGGCCUAAUACAUGCAAGUCGAACGGUGUCUUCGGACAUAGUGGCGCACGGGUGCGUAACACGUAUGCAACCUACCUUACAUUGGGGGAUAGCCUUUCGAAAGGGAGAUUAAUACCGCAUAAGACAGUAGCUGGGCAUCCAGCAGCUGUUAAAGAUUUAUCGAUGUAAGAUGGGCAUGCGACCAAUUAGUUAGUUGGCGAGGUAACGGCUCACCAAGACUAUGAUUGGUAGGGGAACUGAGAGGUCAAUCCCCCACACUGGCACUGAGAUACGGGCCAGACUCCUACGGGAGGCAGCAGUAGGGAAUAUUGGGCAAUGGACGCAAGUCUGACCCAGCCAUGCCGCGUGCAGGAUGAAGGCGUUAUGCGUCGUAAACUGCUUUUAUACAGGAAGAAACGACUCUUGCGAGAGGCAUUGACGGUACUGUAUGAAUAAGCACCGGCUAACUCCGUGCCAGCAGCCGCGGUAAUACGGAGGGUGCAAGCGUUGUCCGGAUUUAUUGGGUUUAAAGGGUGCGCAGGUGGUUUAUUAAGUCAGUGGUGAAAGACGGUCGCUCAACGAUUGCAGUGCCAUUGAAACUAGUAGACUUGAGUAAAGUAGAGGUGGGCGGAAUUGAUAGUGUAGCGGUGAAAUGCAUAGAUAUUAUCAAGAACUCCCAUUGCGUAGGCAGCUCACUUGGCUUUUACUGACACUCAUGCACGAAAGUGUGGGUAUCAACAGGAUUAGAUACCCUGGGUAGUCACACUGUAAACGAUGAUUACUAGGUGUCGGCCGAAUCUGGUCGGUGCACAGCGAAAGCGUUAAGUUAUCACCUGGGGGAGUACGCCGCCAACGGUGGAAACUCAAAGGAUUUGACG
RNAcentral lists this ribosomal RNA (890 nucleotides) under uncultured bacterium. RNAcentral describes it as "bacterial SSU rRNA". It matches the Rfam family "Bacterial small subunit ribosomal RNA", at positions 11 to 915 of the family's 1533-position model. The record is from RNAcentral.